Molecule: transfer RNA, 108 nt
Filed under: Pseudozyma flocculosa
Lineage: Eukaryota; Fungi; Basidiomycota; Ustilaginomycetes; Ustilaginales; Ustilaginaceae
Description: Anthracocystis flocculosa transfer RNA-Val(AAC)
Source: RNAcentral
GGUUUCUUGGCGCAGUUGGUCAGCGCGUCUCCUUAACAAGCAAUGUAGGCACCGUCUGCACGACUGGCUAAUCGGAGGAGGUCCUCAGUUCGAGCCUGGGAGAGAUCA